Molecule: ribosomal RNA, 433 nt
Filed under: uncultured bacterium
Lineage: Bacteria
Description: partial 16S ribosomal RNA
Rfam family: Bacterial small subunit ribosomal RNA
Source: RNAcentral
AGCGAACGCUGGCGGCAGGCCUAACACAUGCAAGUCGAACGAACUCUUCGGAGUUAGUGGCGGACGGGUGAGUAACACGUGGAAACGUGCCUUUUGGUUCGGAAUAACUCAGGGAAACUUGUGCUAAUACCGAACGUGCCCUUCGGGGGAAAGAUUUAUCGCCAUUAGAGCGGCCCGCGUCUGAUUAGCUAGUUGGUGAGGUAACGGCUCACCAAGGCGACGAUCAGUAGCUGGUCUGAGAGGAUGACCAGCCACACUGGGACUGAGACACGGCCCAGACUCCUACGGGAGGCAGCAGUGGGGAAUCUUGCGCAAUGGGCGAAAGCCUGACGCAGCCAUGCCGCGUGAAUGAUGAAGGUCUUAGGAUUGUAAAAUUCUUUCACCGGGGACGAUAAUGACGGUACCCGGAGAAGAAGCCCCGGCUAACUUCGUG